GUCUAUAAGAUGACGAUUGGACUGCAAGGACAAAAGGUUCCUAAAGAGAGAUGUUGAUGAUGAUGAUGCUGACAACAAUGAUGGUGACAAAGUUGUUGCUCAAAAUGAAAAUUGAAACAAAGACAGACACAGGAGUAGCUGUGUGGUACAAGGCCUGAAAUUGGGGAGGGGCGCAGUUGAUUACCAUCAACCCAGUACCAGUCAUAUACUUCGGAUGAUGAAAUCAAAGUUGACCUCUGUCGAAAUCAAACUCAGGAUGUGAAAAGCUGAAAGAAAUACCACAACGCAUUUGAUGCUCACACAAGUCUAAUUGCUCACCACCCUAACAACAACAACAACAACAACCAUCGUCGUCGCCAUCGUCAUCAUCAUCAUCAUCAUUAUUUAACAUCUGUUGUCCAUGCUGACAUGGGCUGAACAGUUUGAAUGGGCUGGCAUGCUGGAAGGCUGCACCAGACUCCAGUCUGGUUUGACACAGUUUUCUACAGCUGGAUGCCCUUCCUAACGCCAACCACUCCGAGAGCGUAAUGAGUGCUUUUAUAUGCCACCGGUACGAGUACCAUUUGUGUGACACCGGGGUGCUUUUAUGUGACACUGGGGUGCUUUUUACACUGGGAUGCUUUUUUUAAUAAUAAUAAUAAUAAUAAUAAUGGUUUCAAAUUUUGGCACAAGACUAGCAGUUUCUGGGGAUGGGAUAAGUCAAUUAAAUUGACCCCAGUACUCAACUGAGUCUUAUUUUAUGAACCCCAAAAGGAUGAAUGACAAAGUUGACCAUGGCGAAAUUUGAAUUCAGAACAU
Long non-coding RNA from Octopus bimaculoides (California two-spot octopus), 798 nucleotides. Lineage: Eukaryota; Metazoa; Mollusca; Cephalopoda; Octopoda; Octopodidae. The record is from RefSeq and is a predicted model, not a curated record.